This 917-nucleotide ribosomal RNA is filed under the name Crepidotus malachius. RNAcentral describes it as "partial large subunit ribosomal RNA". It matches the Rfam family "Eukaryotic large subunit ribosomal RNA", at positions 34 to 938 of the family's 3401-position model. The record is from RNAcentral. Lineage: Eukaryota; Fungi; Basidiomycota; Agaricomycetes; Agaricales; Crepidotaceae.
CUAGCAUAUCAAUAAGCGGAGGAAAAGAAACUAACGAGGAUUCCCCUAGUAACUGCGAGUGAAGCGGGAAAAGCUCAAAUUUGAAAUCUGGCGGUCUUUGGCUGUCCGAGUUGUAAUCUAGAGAAGUGUUACCCGCGUUGGACCGUGUAUAAGUCUCCUGGAAUGGAGCGUCAUAGAGGGUGAGAAUCCCGUCUUUGACACGGACUACCAAGGCUUUGUGGUAUGCUCUCAAAGAGUCGAGUUGUUUGGGAAUGCAGCUCAAAAUGGGUGGUAAAUGCCAUCUAAAGCUAAAUAUUGGCGAGAGACCGAUAGCGAACAAGUACCGUGAGGGAAAGAUGAAAAGAACUUUGGAAAGAGAGUUAAACAGUACGUGAAAUUGCUGAAAGGGAAACGCUUAAAGUCAGUCGCGUUGGCUUGAAAUCAACCUUGCUUUUGCUGGGUGUACUUUCUAGUUGACGGGUCAACAUCAGUUUUGACCAGUGGAUAAAGUCAAUGGGAAUGUGGCUCCUUCGGGAGUGUUAUAGCCCAUAGUCGCAUACAUUGGUUGGGACUGAGGCUCUCAGCACGCCUUUAUGGCCUGGUUUCGACCAAGUUCGUGCUUAGGAUGUUGGCAUAAUGGCUUUAAUCGACCCGUCUUGAAACACGGACCAAGGAGUCUAACAUGCUUGCGAGUAUUUGGGUGGAAAACCCUUGUGCGUAAUGAAAGUGAAAGUUGAGAUCCCUGUCGUGGGGAGCAUCGACGCCUGGACCAGAGCUUUUGUGACGGAUCCACGGUAGAGCACGUAUGUUGGGACCCGAAAGAUGGUGAACUAUGCCUGAAUAGGGUGAAGCCAGAGGAAACUCUGGUGGAGGCUCGUAGCGAUUCUGACGUGCAAAUCGAUCGUCAAAUUUGGGUAUAGGGGCGAAAGACUAAUCGA